UGGAAGAUUUGUUCCAGGCCUUGAUAAUAGAAAGGGAAAUAAAUAAGAUUCUUUCUCUUGUUAAUCAGGCUCAGGGAGAGGGAAUACCAAGUUGGCCAACUGAAGAUUCCAAAGGGAACCCAAAUUCAGAGCAAGAUUACUUACAACUAUGCCAGGCUUGAAAUGCAUUACUAAAACAAUGAGAGCCUAUUCUGAUAGACCUGGUAUGUGGACUAAAUUCGAAAAUCUAAAACAAGAAGAUAAUGAAAAUCUCAGUUUAUGGAUAGGCUUGUUGAGCUGGGAGGAAGGUAUAGAGAAUUGGAUCUUGAUAGUAGUAGUCUCUCGGUAACCAAGGAUGACAUUUGUCUUUGUGUGCUUUCAUCUGUGAUGUAGGUGAGUGUGCACAAAAAACAAUUGUGCGUGAAGGAGAUUUAAGUGGAAAAGUCAAUGCACAGAGAGAGUCCCACUCUCUUGGCAUUGGAAGCCUGGGUCCAUUGGCACGAAAAAUCGUUACACUUGGAGACUUCCUCAUCUGCAUUGGAUGGCCAUGUUGUCCUUUGUGCUCCAACACGCCCUAAGCACUCCACAGUGCUUUGCUGCGUCGCCAUCUCAGCCGUUGAACCUUCUUAUUGGUUUCUUCUGUCUGUUCAGCUGAAGCAGUCUUCACAUGCUGGAUGAUGGAUACCCCCCUUAGUUUCUUGUUCUUUGCCACCACAAAUUACAAAAGGGACCAUUUAAGAGAAAUCUGGGAAGAUUAAUAUGAACUGAUGCAAAGUUGAACCAGAAGAAAAAACUGCACAAUAACAACAUUGCAAAGACAAAGGAUUUUGAAAGACUUGAGAACUCUGGUCAAAUAUAAUGCAAUUAUUGUGGAGAAGGAGCCAGACAUCCUCAUGAAUUGCCAUUCACAGAAUAGGCAAACCAGUCUAGCUGAAACAGCAGUAAGGAGAUGGGAAAGAUGAAUAAUAGCAUUUGUCAGGCAAUUCAACAAAACUUGCCAUGUUGACCACCAUCAGCUUUCAAGCUCUGACAAGAUAGCUUAGUGUCCCAUUAACCAUUUGAUAUGCUUCAAAUGCCAAUAGUCAUUAUUGAGGGCAAAAAUUGUUGUGGAAAAGGGACCCACUUUUUUCUCACCAUCAGUGACAACUGCUGACCAUGUAUCACCAACCAGCUGAACCAAAAGAGUGACAACAUUCCCCAAAUUAGUGGUCUUGGUUCCAGACUAGCUCUCAUUGUUAUCAUCUGGAAAGGCAACUUCUAUGAAAAAGGGGACAGUCAUCCACACCAAAUGAAAGUUGGUAUUGCUGAAGCCGAAAGGAACCCUGAGGGAGAGGUUCUUAUUUCUGUAGAGUAUGAUAUAAAUAGGUUUCAUUUAUGUAUAGUAUGAAUUUUGUGAUUCUGUAAAUGUAAAUAUUUGUAAUUGUAUAUUAUUUGAGACUUAUAUGUUGCAAGAAUUCUUGUUCUUUCUCUCUUUACUGCUCCCUGUUUAAAAUAAAGAGUAUAGAAUAGUUUUGGUUUAAAGAGUU
This 1505-nucleotide long non-coding RNA is filed under the name Monodelphis domestica (gray short-tailed opossum). Its description in RNAcentral is "lncRNA (ENSMODG00000038506.1)". The record is from RNAcentral. Lineage: Eukaryota; Metazoa; Chordata; Mammalia; Didelphimorphia; Didelphidae.